This is a long non-coding RNA of Asparagus officinalis (garden asparagus), 862 nucleotides long. RefSeq lists it as uncharacterized. The transcript has 2 exons. Lineage: Eukaryota; Viridiplantae; Streptophyta; Magnoliopsida; Asparagales; Asparagaceae. The record is from RefSeq and is a predicted model, not a curated record.
GGAAGUCACGUGCGCGGCACGUGAGGUCACCGUCCUCCUCCCUCUCUAUAUUUAAAACCGCGGUCGAGAGAAUCGCGGGUUUUCUGUAAUUUUCUUCUUCAUUUUCCCCCAAUUUACCUCUCGCGUUCUCUCUCCCAAAACGAAACGGAAAAAAAGAAAAGAAAAGAAAAGAAAAACGUAAUUCAUUUUUUACCAAAAUACGCGAUUUGAUCUCAUAAUUAACGGGAAGUUUCGAGAAUUGGGUAUGAAUGAGGGGGGAAAUUGAUGGAUCGCGGCAGAAUAAAACCCAAAAAGUCGAAAUGGAGAAAUAAGGCCAAGAUCUCUCUACCCAAAAAAGACGCUGAGGAGGAGGAGGAUCUGGAGAAAAAGGCACUUUUGCCCUCGGCCAUGGCGGGAAAGAGGAAGAGUGGGAUGAAGAACGCCAAGGGGCGAGUGCAGUGGAACGAUGAUCACGGGGACCAGCUCGUCCAAGUGCUUGAAUUCUUUCCGAGUGAUUCAAGUGACUCAGAGGAUGAGUUCGUAGACUCUUGUAUGUGUAAGAUAAUGUAGAAGGUGCAGCCGGUACAGAUACAGAUAAGCAUCGCUGAGUGCCACAGUUACAGCUGCCGAGUGAGCGACAUGCACGGUUUAUGCAGCAGCAAAAAGAAUUCUUGUUGAGAUGGUAUCAUUUUCUUUAUGUUGGCUACUCCUUUCCCUGCUUUAAAAUGGGUAGCUUAAAGUUGAUAAGACAUACGAGAUUGCCGGUCUCUGGGGCUCUUAGCAAGUUGAAACAGGGAAAGGAAGUUAGGAGCAGGGUAGAAGUCCAGAGCAUUUGAUGGUUUCUGUUGAAAACUUGAAGAUAUCAAGAUAUUGUUAUGAUUUA